GACGAACGCUGGCGGCGUGCUUAACACAUGCAAGUCGAACGGAAAGGCCCUGCUUUUGUGGGGUGCUCGAGUGGCGAACGGGUGAGUAACACGUGAGUAACCUUCCCUUGACUUUGGGAUAACUUCAGGAAACUUGGGCUAAUACCGGAUAGGAGCUCCUGCUGCAUGGUGGGGGUUGGAAAGUUUCGGCGGUUGGGGAUGGACUCGCGGCUUAUCAGCUUGUUGGUGGGGUAGUGGCUUACCAAGGCUUUGACGGGUAGCCGGCCUGAGAGGGUGACCGGACACAUUGGGACUGAGAUACGGCCCAGACUCCUACGGGAGGCAGCAGUGGGGAAUAUUGCACAAUGGGCGGAAGCCUGAUGCAGCAACGCCGCGUGCGGGAUGACGGCCUUCGGGUUGUAAACCGCUUUCGCCUGUGACGAAGCGUGAGUGACGGUAAUGGGUAAAGAAGCACCGGCUAACUACGUG
RNAcentral lists this ribosomal RNA (468 nucleotides) under uncultured bacterium. RNAcentral's name for it is "partial 16S ribosomal RNA". It matches the Rfam family "Bacterial small subunit ribosomal RNA", at positions 28 to 507 of the family's 1533-position model. The record is from RNAcentral.